CAAUAGCGUAUAUUAACGUUGUUGCAGUUAAAAAGCUCGUAGUUGGAUUUCUUGAGGGAGCGUCGGCCCGUAUUUACGAGUGCGUGACGUCUCUGUCCAUCCUUGCGGGAAGGCACGGCAUUGAUUUGUUGUGUCGGAUCGCAUCAUUUACUGUGAAAAAAUUAGAGUGUUCAAAGCAGGCUUUCGCUUGAAUACAUUAGCAUGGAAUAAUAAGAUAGGACUUUGGUGCUAUUUUGUUGGUUGAGCCUAAAGUAAUGAUUAAUAGGGAUAGUUGGGGGCACCUGUAUUGCGUUGUCAGAGGUGAAAUUCUUGGAUUUACGCAAGACAAACAGCUGCGAAAGCGUCUGCCAAGGAUGUUUUCAUUA
RNAcentral lists this ribosomal RNA (365 nucleotides) under uncultured eukaryote. Its description in RNAcentral is "partial 18S ribosomal RNA". It matches the Rfam family "Eukaryotic small subunit ribosomal RNA", at positions 592 to 975 of the family's 1831-position model. The record is from RNAcentral.